GCAAACUUGGUCAUUUAGAGGAAGUAAAAGUCGUAACAAGGUCUCCGUUGGUGAACCAGCGGAGGGAUCAUUACCGAGUUUAUAACUCCCAAACCCCAUGUGAACGUACCAUUUCUCCGUUGCUUCGGCGGUGCCGCCCCGGGCGCGGGCCUCUCGUCAGGCCGCCAGCCCCGGAACCAGGCGCCCGCCGGAGGACCACCAAAACUCUGUCUUAUAUAGCGGCUUCUUCUGAGUCUUCCUUCUGCGCUCUCCGGGGCGCAGAGGAGGGAAAAAAAAACAAAAUGAAUCAAAACUUUCAACAACGGAUCUCUUGGCUCUGGCAUCGAUGAAGAACGCAGC
RNAcentral lists this unclassified non-coding RNA (339 nucleotides) under uncultured fungus. RNAcentral's name for it is "partial contains small subunit ribosomal RNA, internal transcribed spacer 1, and 5.8S ribosomal RNA". The stretch from base 1 to 73 matches the Rfam family "Eukaryotic small subunit ribosomal RNA", at positions 1759 to 1831 of the family's 1831-position model. Lineage: Eukaryota; Fungi. The record is from RNAcentral.